RNAcentral lists this long non-coding RNA (850 nucleotides) under Homo sapiens (human). RNAcentral's name for it is "non-protein coding lnc-VPS26C-13:1". Lineage: Eukaryota; Metazoa; Chordata; Mammalia; Primates; Hominidae. The record is from RNAcentral.
GUCCCAGAUAGAGGUAGCUUGGGUUCCUGUAGUUAUAUUAUUAGAGAUUCCUUACAGAUGCAAAUUUUGCAUCACGAAAGCCAGCUUUGCAGCGCACUUGCUUCUCUGUGCCCAGAGUCGAGGUAGGCUCUGGCCCAACUGCACGAGAUGGACCUAGGACAGUGGUUCUCAGUCAAGGGCAAGUUUUGUCCCCCGGGAGACAGAGGGCAAUAUCACUGGUCAUUCAAGAAAUGCAAAUCCAAAACCACAAUGAGAUACCAUCUGCAGCACUAUUCACAUAACAAAGACAUAGAAUCAACCCAAAUGCCCACAAUGAUAGACUGGAUAAAGCAAAUGUGGUACAUAUACACCAUGGAAUACUAUACAGCCAUAAAAAGGAAUGAGAUCAUGUCCUUUGCAGGGACAUGGAUGAAGCUGGAAUAAUGGAAGCCAUUAUCCUUAGCAAACCCCUGUAAUCUCAGCACUUUGGGAGGCCGAGGCAGGCAGAUCACGAGGUCAGGAGAUCGAGACCAUCCCAACUAACACGGUGAAACCCCGUCUGUACUAAAGAUUAGCGGUGUCAAUUAAGGCCAAACGGGUGCCCUCUGGUGCAGUGCCUGGCCCGCAGUAAGCGUGCUCUCCAACAAGCUCCCUCCAGCCCUGGUGGUGAGCAUGACAGCAGCAUGCUCUGAACCUCAUGGAGAGUCCCAGCACGCCUUCUCCCCAUCCCAAAUUAUUUCUAACACAGGUACGCCAGUGAGGUGUGUGUUUGCUGCCUGGGUGACAUGAGCUACCAUCGUCUACAAGUCUUUGUUUGGUCCUUAUGGGAACAAUGCAUUCUGUGGCCAUAGUAGGGAAUGGAAGGGGCAAG